Small RNA from Rhizobium sp. Root149, 142 nucleotides. It matches the Rfam family "Alphaproteobacterial sRNA ar7". NCBI's taxonomy places the organism in Bacteria, Pseudomonadati, Pseudomonadota, Alphaproteobacteria, Hyphomicrobiales, Rhizobiaceae. The record is from Rfam.
UACCGGCGAUUGAUCACGCCGCAGCCUGACCGCUGGCUCGUCCCCCGCCGCGGUAGGCCGGGCAAAGGCUCAUCCCCCCUCUCCGGGCCUUUGUCCCUCCAUUCCGCCACGACCGUCCCCCUCCCCGGUCGUGGCGGUUUCA